RNAcentral lists this ribosomal RNA (633 nucleotides) under Triticum aestivum (bread wheat). RNAcentral's name for it is "partial small subunit ribosomal RNA". The record is from RNAcentral. Lineage: Eukaryota; Viridiplantae; Streptophyta; Magnoliopsida; Poales; Poaceae.
AUGCCCAGUAGACAGACCAUGGCGCUCUCCGUCUUCUCCCUCGCCUCGGCCUUCUCCCACCUCUUCCUCCCCUCCACCUCCGCUCCCCACCCUCUCCCUUUCCUCCUCCUCCAUCCCACCACCCGUCGUGCUGCUCGCCUCGUCCUCUCCGCCUCCGAGGCCGAUGCGGCUGAGCCGGUCGAGGCGGAGGCGCCUGCUGCCGACGACGGCCCCGAGGAGGUGCUCGCGGUCGAGGCCGAGGAGGACGCGCUUUCCGGGCUGGCGCUGCGCAAUUUGUGUCAAAUGCAGGUGCUCUGCCUCUCCACGGGCUCGUUCACCAUUCGUUCAACUUCAGAGCUCAUCAGGCACAACAGGAUAUACUCAUGUGUGCUACUAAAUGUCACGGAGAAGAAACAAAGAUGGCAAUUCUGCUACUAGUUGUUGUGUACUCCUAGUGUUGUAGUUCCUAUGUAGCAAUACGGAAAUAUUAAUGCUCAAAUAUGAUGAUGUGGCCUGCAGCGCACCUGCUUCGAUGCUGACCCAUCUGUUGUCAUCGCCUUCGAUGACGACAAGGACACCUCAAGCACCGUCAGCCUCGGCGUCGGCUUCUGCCACUACCACAUCGUCGUCACCUACCAGGGCGUCAAGGGGUGA